UUUACCUACGGGGGGCAGCAGUAGGGAAUCUUCCACAAUGGGCGAAAGCCUGAUGGAGCAAUGCCGCGUGAACGAGGAAGGUCUUCGGAUCGUAAAGUUCUGUUGAAGGGGAAAAAGAGCGGAGAGAGGAAAUGGUCUCCGAUUGAUAUUACCCUUCGAGGAAGUCACGGCUAACUACGUGCCAGCAGCCGCGGUAAUACGUAGGUGGCGAGCGUUAUCCGGAAUGAUUGGGCGUAAAGGGUGCGUAGGCGGCCUGCUAAGUCUGGAGUGAAAGGUACCGGCUCAACCGGUACAGGCUCUGGAAA
RNAcentral lists this ribosomal RNA (305 nucleotides) under uncultured bacterium. RNAcentral's name for it is "bacterial SSU rRNA". It matches the Rfam family "Bacterial small subunit ribosomal RNA", at positions 334 to 632 of the family's 1533-position model. The record is from RNAcentral.